CUUAGGAGACCUGGACAAGCCAUCUUCAGCCUUUUAACUUCAACCACAGGAAAUCAGUGCACCGGCUGUAUGUUUAGAAGCAACCUCCACACUCUCUUGGUGCAGAGGUACCAAAAAGUGUGACUCAGCCUCUCUCCUAGGAGACAUAAAGAGCUGGUUCCAGUGACUCCACCACGUUGCAAAAGCGGUUUGCAGGAUUUAUGGUUGCUGCUUCAGUCCUUGAUGCUGCAGAACUGCAUCUUUUCACAGGUAAAAGCAUGUGGUGGCUCCAGAAUACAUCCACUAAGAGAAGGGAGUUUACAAUGAAAGGACUCCACUCAAGACCCAAUCCCAACUACGACCUCAAGCCUCCCGGGGCUGGAACAUGCAGAAGCUCUAUCACAGCUGCUGACGAAUCUGCCAGGAAUGUAAGGACAACUUUCUCAUAGACUUAUUCAGUGCAAACUGAGGCCACGUCAACUGUAAUUUACAGGAACUUUUUCAAUGACUCAUAUUUAAAUUUACUCUAUUUUUAUUAUUAUGGCCUGCACUUCCUAUUUUUGACAGAGACCUUUAAAUCACAGGGAUUUUCAAGGGAUUUUUAUGGUUCUUUCACUGAUGGGAUUACAUCUUCUGUAUAGGAAUGGUUUUUCAGAAGAUGUCAGUGCAUGGAAGUAGCUUGACUGUCAGAAUGACCGACAGGCACACAAAAGGAGUUCAACAACUGGCUUGCACAAGGUCCUGGCCCGUUGAAGCUACUGCUAGAAAAAGAAAAGGCAGAGACAGACUAUGAGAUACACUUUCUUAUCAGCCAAAGGAAUGAAGAGCACAGUGCUCUUCCUUCUCAGCCUAUUUCUCUGAAUAAUUCUUGCCCUUUUCAGAACAGUACAUUACAUGCAAUAAUUGUGCAGCAUGCUUGUAUGAGGUGGGGGCGUAGAAACAGGUUUGGUGUGCAAUUCAGGUUGGAAAUGUGCCUCAGUGAAUUAGUGUCAUUUACCUCAGCUCCCGGUGUAAUUGCUCUUGUUGCUAGCCAGUCAUACUCAGAAGAUUGAAAUAAAUUUCGAUUCAGCAUUCAGUUACGGGGCUUAAUUGCUUUACAAAAUAUUAUGCAUUGUUACAAAUACACCAGAAUAGUGGAGUUACCCUCACAUGCUUGCAUAUCAAAAAGAAGAUUGCAUUCCAAAAGAAGCAAUCCCCUUAACUGCAAAUAAGAGGCUUUAAAAGAUCUUUGGCUUGAAUGAAAAAAAUGCCUUCUUCUUGGAGCCUAGCCCACAUCCCUGUGUAUAAAGUCCACUAGGACUUUGUGAGAACAUCAAACAACAAAACCAUGUUCUUUGUCCAAUGUGGAGUUCUGCUCUAGAUGCAGAGUUAGAGUGCUACUCGUGCCUUGCCAAAAAAGCAAAUGCGUACCAGAAGCAAAACCAGAAGUUCUAUUGAAAAUACCAUUUGUUUGCAGAGAAAGAUAUGAACCAACAUUUUUUGUUCCCCCCACCCACCAAUAAAUAAAUAAAUAAAUAAAUCUGUCCAAUGUUUGGGUUUUGUGAGAAACACUCCGUAGCCAAUAACUUAGGCUCAGGCGAGGAUCUCAGUGAAGUAGUAAUUUAUUCGCGAUUGCAAUGGCGGGCGCCCCACAAGCAGGAGAGAGCGCAUCUACUAGUUCCAAAACACAGUUUAUAUACCUUUUGAUGGCAGGACCCUCCCCUGUUUCCCCACUGAGUGGGUAAUCCAGGUUCACAAUCUAUCUGAUGCUUCACAAACAAUGCAUGGCCUUCAGUUGCCGGCCUGUUAAAUUUCAAAUUUCUUUUGACAUUUUUACUGUUUGAAGUGGUAAUGUUUCUUCACUUAUCUGACUUGACUUGACACCGUGAUUUUCACCUAAUUGUCCUAAGGAGACUGGUUGUCUGCAUUUUACUAGGUCGCCUGCUAAACUUUCUUAUCACUGUAAGCAUAUCUCAGUACCACAUUCCCUCCUUCUAAACAAUGUAACUCUGCAAAAACAACAUUUCUAUUCCCACAAUUCCCCCCUUUUCUUUUUUUUUAUAAACUGUUGAUUUUUGCAAAACCUUUCUCUAAGGUGCAAUUUGAUAGACUUCUUCUUCUUUGCUUUCCAUCUCCUCAUUAUCUCCUUAU
RNAcentral lists this long non-coding RNA (2109 nucleotides) under Anas platyrhynchos (mallard). Its description in RNAcentral is "lncRNA (ENSAPLG00020000107.1)". The record is from RNAcentral. Lineage: Eukaryota; Metazoa; Chordata; Aves; Anseriformes; Anatidae.